GGUUCGGUGUUCUAGGGGUAUAAUUCUCGCUUCCGGUGCGAGAGGUCCCGGUUUCAAAUCCCGGCUGAACCC
This 72-nucleotide transfer RNA is filed under the name Araneus ventricosus. It matches the Rfam family "tRNA". Rfam says of the family: Transfer RNA (tRNA) molecules are approximately 80 nucleotides in length. Their secondary structure includes four short double-helical elements and three loops (D, anti-codon, and T loops). Further hydrogen bonds mediate the characteristic L-shaped molecular structure. tRNAs have two regions of fundamental functional importance: the anti-codon, which is responsible for specific mRNA codon recognition, and the 3' end, to which the tRNAs corresponding amino acid is attached (by aminoacyl-tRNA synthetases). tRNAs cope with the degeneracy of the genetic code in two manners: having more than one tRNA (with a specific anti-codon) for a particular amino acid; and 'wobble' base-pairing, i.e. permitting non-standard base-pairing at the 3rd anti-codon position. Lineage: Eukaryota; Metazoa; Arthropoda; Arachnida; Araneae; Araneidae. The record is from Rfam by way of RNAcentral.